AGGAGAAUGGACCCAGGAAACACGCACUUGUGUAUUAGCGUAAGCGUUGCCCUUAGACAAAACCCCGGGGAGGGGAAGAUGGCUAUGAAUAUGUGCAAUAAAAAACGGGUGAGACCGGGAGCGCAGAAGCUGGGGACAAUGGAAAAAUGAGAAAAGGCUAAACAAAGGGCAGCAAGUUCUGCCCGUUGAGGGCUUGUCUGAGGAAUGGUAAACCACGAGUGCCAUUGCGUGGCAGUACACCAAGAAACAACACCACGGGUUGGGCAGCCAUCAGUGAAUACUAUAAGCGCAUCAAUUAUGGGGGUUUGCUGGCAAAAAUUACGAAAUACAGUGGGAAUGUGACAAAUGGCAUGCAGGCGAGGAUCUUUCUGAAUAUGAUAGGACAGGGAGCCCACAAAGCCUGCCAGGGCUAGUUGAAGGGCAUCCGGGAAGGCAAGGGCUGAUUCGGUCUUUGGGUAGCGCUUCUUUACCUGUGAGAAAAGAAACUUAACACAUUUCAUUAGUGCCUGGCAGUGUUUUGCAGAUCUCAUAGCUGCUUGGGCACGUUCAAGCCCCACCCCCCUUUCCUUGGUUAUUAGCCAAGUCUUAGCUGUGAGCAGUGUCCUUGAAUGGAGACAGUGUCUUAUCUACAGUCUCCUAGCUACUUUUUUCUUUUCAGUUAACUCAUUCUGUUCCUUUUUUCUUCUCCCUUUUUGGCUUCCUUUAACCUGCAAAGGAAACUUUCACUCUUCACUUAUACACCUUUUCCCAACAACGAACACGUAAACAUUGCCAUUAUACAGUACAUUAGUCUUAUUAUUUAAUAUAUGCCACACAUACUCUUUUACUAAAAUAACCUUAUUACAGAACUUUGGAGCAACGAGCUAGAACAAGCACACCCACUUUGAGGAGUUCAUUCAAUUCAACCUCUAGUCCAAUAGCCUUCCACCAUCCCCAGCCCUCUGGCUAGAAAUU
Gopherus flavomarginatus (Mexican gopher tortoise) is the source of this 954-nucleotide long non-coding RNA. RefSeq lists it as uncharacterized. The transcript has 2 exons. The record is from RefSeq and is a predicted model, not a curated record. Lineage: Eukaryota; Metazoa; Chordata; Testudines; Testudinidae.